RNAcentral lists this ribosomal RNA (465 nucleotides) under uncultured bacterium. Its description in RNAcentral is "bacterial SSU rRNA". It matches the Rfam family "Bacterial small subunit ribosomal RNA", at positions 43 to 523 of the family's 1533-position model. The record is from RNAcentral.
CAGGCCUAACACAUGCAAGUCGAACGGUAAGGCCCCUUCGGGGGUACACGAGUGGCGAACGGGUGAGUAACACGUGAGCAACCUGCCCUUGACUAAGGAAUAACAGCUGGGAACAGCUGCUAAUACCGGAUAUGACGCACUACCUCAUGGCAGUGCGUGGAAAGCUCUGGCGGUCAAGGAUGGGCUCGCGGCCUAUCAGCUAGUUGGUGAGGUAACGGCUCACCAAGGCUUCGACGGGUAGCCGGCCUGAGAGGGCGACCGGCCACACUGGGACUGAGAUACGGCCCAGACUCCUACGGGAGGCAGCAGUGGGGAAUAUUGCACAAUGGGCGAAAGCCUGAUGCAGCAAUGCCGCGUGCGGGAUGACGGCCUUCGGGUUGUAAACCGCUUUCAGCGCCGACGAAGCGAAAGUGACGGUAGGCGCAGAAGAAGGACCGGCUAACUACGUGCCAGCAGCCGCGGUAU